Molecule: ribosomal RNA, 481 nt
Filed under: uncultured bacterium
Lineage: Bacteria
Description: bacterial SSU rRNA
Rfam family: Bacterial small subunit ribosomal RNA
Source: RNAcentral
AGAGUUUGAUCCUGGCUCAGAUUGAACGCUGGCGGCAUGCCUUACACAUGCAAGUCGAACGGCAGCGCGGGAGCAAUCCUGGCGGCGAGUGGCGAACGGGUGAGUAAUAUAUCGGAACGUGCCUUAGAGUGGGGGAUAACUAGUCGAAAGACUAGCUAAUACCGCAUACGACCUACGGGUGAAAGUGGGGGAUCGCAAGACCUCAUGCUCUUAGAGCGGCCGAUAUCUGAUUAGCUAGUUGGUGGGGUAAAAGCCUACCAAGGCGACGAUCAGUAGCUGGUCUGAGAGGACGACCAGCCACACUGGGACUGAGACACGGCCCAGACUCCUACGGGAGGCAGCAGUGGGGAAUUUUGGACAAUGGGGGCAACCCUGAUCCAGCAAUGCCGCGUGUGUGAAGAGGGCCUUCGGGUUGUAAAGCACUUUUGUUCGGAAAGAAAUCGCUCUGGCUAAUAACCGGAGUGGAUGACGGUACCGAAGA